CCUACGGGAGGCAGCAGUGGGGAAUAUUGCGCAAUGGGCGAAAGCCUGACGCAGCGACGCCGCGUGAGGGAUGAAGGUCUUCGGAUCGUAAACCUCUGUCAGCAGGGAAGAACGGUCACUGUGCUAAUCAGCAGUGAAUUGACGGUACCUGCAAAGGAAGCACCGGCUAACUCCGUGCCAGCAGCCGCGGUAAUACGGAGGGUGCGAGCGUUAAUCGGAUUUACUGGGCGUAAAGCGCGCGUAGGCGGUAUGUCAAGUCAAGGGUGAAAUCCCCGCGCUCAACGUGGGAACUGCCUUUGAAACUGGCAAACUGGAGUGUGUGAGAGGAGAGUGGAAUUCCAGGUGUAGGAGUGAAAUGCGUAGAUAUCUGGAGGAACAUCAGUGGCGAAGGCGACUAUCUGGCACAUAACUGACGCUGAGGAGCGAAAGCGUGGGUAGCAAACAGGAUUAGAUACCCGGGUAGUC
This 465-nucleotide ribosomal RNA is filed under the name uncultured bacterium. RNAcentral's name for it is "partial 16S ribosomal RNA". It matches the Rfam family "Bacterial small subunit ribosomal RNA", at positions 338 to 795 of the family's 1533-position model. The record is from RNAcentral.